UACGUAGGGUCCGAGCGUUGUCCGGAAUUACUGGGCGUAAAGAGCUCGUAGGCGGUUUGUCGCGUUGUCCGUGAAAACUCACAGCUCAACUGUGGGCGUGCGGGCGAUACGGGCAGACUGGAGUGCUGCAGGGGAGACUGGAAUUCCUGGUGUAGCGGUGGAAUGCGCAGAUAUCAGGAGGAACACCGGUGGCGAAGGCGGGUCUCUGGGCAGUAACUGACGCUGAGGAGCGAAAGCGUGGGGAGCGAACAGG
Molecule: ribosomal RNA, 253 nt
Filed under: uncultured bacterium
Lineage: Bacteria
Description: partial 16S ribosomal RNA
Rfam family: Bacterial small subunit ribosomal RNA
Source: RNAcentral